RNAcentral lists this ribosomal RNA (460 nucleotides) under uncultured bacterium. RNAcentral describes it as "partial 16S ribosomal RNA". It matches the Rfam family "Bacterial small subunit ribosomal RNA", at positions 338 to 795 of the family's 1533-position model. The record is from RNAcentral.
CCUACGGGUGGCAGCAGUGAGGAAUAUUGGUCAAUGUACGAGAGUCUGAACCAGCCAAGUAGCGUGAAGGAUGACUGCCCUAUGGGUUGUACACUUCUUUUAUAAAGGAAUAAAACGAGGCACGUGUGCCUUUUUGCAUGUACUUUAUGAAUAAGGAUCGGCUAACUACGUGCCAGCAGCCGCGGUAAUACGGAGGAUCCGAGCGUUAUCCGGAUUUAUUGGGUUUAAAGGGAGCGUAGAUGGGUUGUUAAGUCAGUUGUUAAAUUUUGCGGCUCAACCGUAAAAUUGCAAUUGAUACUGGCAGUCGUGAGUACAGUUGAGGUAGGCGGAAUUCGUGGUGUAGCGGUGAAAUGCUUAGAUAUCACGAAGAACCCCGAUUGCGAAGGCAGCUUACUAAACUGCCACUGACAUUGAUGCUCGAAAGUGUGGGUAUCAAACAGGAUUAGAUACCCCAGUAGUC